AGGGAGCUCGCACAGACCAGAGAGAGUGUA
Molecule: non-coding RNA, 30 nt
Filed under: Homo sapiens (human)
Lineage: Eukaryota; Metazoa; Chordata; Mammalia; Primates; Hominidae
Source: RNAcentral